Molecule: ribosomal RNA, 433 nt
Filed under: uncultured bacterium
Lineage: Bacteria
Description: partial 16S ribosomal RNA
Rfam family: Bacterial small subunit ribosomal RNA
Source: RNAcentral
AACGAACGCUGGCGGCAUGCCUAACGCAUGCAAGUCGAACGAGACCUUCGGGUCUAGUGGCGCACGGGUGCGUAACGCGUGGGAACCUGCCCUUAGGUUCGGAAUAACUCCCCGAAAGGGGUGCUAAUACCGGAUAAUGACUUCGGACCAAAGAUUUAUCGCCUUUGGAUGGGCCCGCGUUGGAUUAGCUAGUUGGUAGGGUAAAAGCCUACCAAGGCGACGAUCCAUAGCUGGUCUGAGAGGAUGAUCAGCCACACUGGGACUGAGACACGGCCCAGACUCCUACGGGAGGCAGCAGUGGGGAAUAUUGGACAAUGGGCGAAAGCCUGAUCCAGCAAUGCCGCGUGAGUGAUGAAGGCCUUAGGGUUGUAAAGCUCUUUUACCCGGGAUGAUAAUGACAGUACCGGGAGAAUAAGCUCCGGCUAACUCCGUG